This is a long non-coding RNA of Mauremys mutica (yellowpond turtle), 2163 nucleotides long. RefSeq lists it as uncharacterized. Lineage: Eukaryota; Metazoa; Chordata; Testudines; Geoemydidae. The transcript is spliced from 3 exons. The record is from RefSeq and is a predicted model, not a curated record.
GUUUCAGAGUCUGAGAUUGAUCCUUAUGAAUAGUGAAACAGCCAAUGUAUUUGUUCUUGUGAUGGCAUAUGCCUGAAUCCUGUCAGAUACCUCAAGAUAUCCAGAAAGAGAUGUUUGUGAAGUUGCAAACUGCUGUGAAGAGACCUUGCUAAAGCUGACUCUAUGGAUCAGUGUUUUCAGUUACUGGCCUCCAUUUCUGCUGACACAAAUAAAGCAGCUGCUAGAGGCUCCAGCUGAGACCGUGGCCCCACUAUGCCAGGCACUGUACGAACACACCAUGGGAAACAGUCUCUGCCCUGAUGAACUUGCAGUCUAAACAGACAAAGGAUGGGAAGGAAGCAAAGGCAAAAAUAACUUGCCCUAGGUCACAUAUCAGGACAAUGACGGAGCCAGGAAUGGAACCUAGGUCUCCUGAUUCCCAGGCCUGUAACCUAUCCAGCUGGACCGUGCUGCUUCUCAUGAAUAUGCUAAUCAAGUAUACUCUUGAGUAGGAAUCUUCCUGCUUGCACCAGCAAUCUUUAAAUGAUGAUUGUUAAAGUAACAUUAGGAAAGAGCUCUUUCCUGUACAUUUAACAAAAAAAAAAAUUCUCCCCACACGUCACUCUCUCCUAUUUAAUUUUUUUCUCUAAAAUCAUCUGCAGUUAAACAAAUACAGCAGAUGUCUAGUCUUCUGUGAAAAAAUUAUGCUUUGAAGCCAUGACACUAGCCUCACUUCUCAUGUCACUUAUGAUGUGGACUAAGCCUGAGAAUUGUAAAAACAAGUACUCCAAAUCAAGCAGGGCUAUUCAACCAUUAAGCACACACGUUUUUACUAGUAAGUGUGUGUGUGGUACACAUAGGAUAGCUCUUUUCGAUGCCUCUUUUUUUUUAAAGAUUAAGUACAUACAUCGUUCCAGAUUGAUUAAUUGAUUUCUCCUCCUUACAUUAACUAGCAAGGGAUUCUCCCCUUCUGAUAUAUGGAUACAAUCCCUACUGGGGCUGAUCCUGCAAGCCCUCAAUGCACACAGCUCCCAUGGUGAGUUCCCUGUAUGGAGGGCCUGCAGGAUCUGGUCUGCUGUCUUCAUUGGGAAUUGCAGCUGUCUCUCUGAAGAUGGAUUGGGCCCAGAAGCUAGCUGUGUCCUUUGCAGAGUAUUGCCAGGGACACCACCUGUAAGAAAUUGUAGUGUACGUUCAGCAGUACUAUCACCUCAAACUCUGAGAAGGUCAGUGGUGCUAUUCUAAGAAGUUGUUCUCAUUGGAUUUUAACCUCAAAUGAUAAAAAAAAAAUCUCACAACGUCUGUUGUUUCCAUGAGAUUUUUGCCAUCUUGAACCGUUACAAGCAGGAUCCAGAAAAGGGAGCCUUUCAUCACAAAGUGAUAGCCGUGGGUCAGAACCUAGGGCUUUGAUUUCGAAAACUAGUUCCCACCUCCAAAACUUAACAGCUGGGGUCGUAAUCUGGACUCACUUCUACUUUUUAUUUACCUGAAUGCCCCUGCAGUAUGUCAAGUACAAUGCUCUUCUCUAUGUCUGACACGAGGGUGUUGUUUUUGUUGCUUUACAUUUAAACAGUUGAUUCUUCCCACCCCAGCAGUGACUAAUGGUGGGUGAACUGAUCGCUGUGUAUAGUUUGGUUGGUGGUUUGGGGACUUUGUGGUUGAAAACUCCUAUAAAAGUGAAGAGUAACCCAAGGCGUCAUAGGUAGAGCUGGUUGGAAAAUGGGGAUUUUUUUUUAAAGUGGAAAAUGUUGACUCUUCUAUACAAAUUUCAAUUUUUCAGCUAUACUGUGGUUUUUGUUUUCUAAUGAAAUAUUGAAAUCUUUGAGGAAAUCAAACACUUUCUGUGACAAUUUUCAUUUAGUCUAAAACCCAGUUUUCCAUUAAAAAACAAAACAAUUUUACCUACCUCUAUAUACUUCAUAGGUGCUGGGUACUUCAGGGUUGUCUCUGUGCAAUGCAUCACCUGAGAAGGAGGGCAGAAAAUAGACUAUUUUUCACAACCACUAAAUUCAAACACAUCCACACAAAGCCAAAAAAGAUGCAGUAAAUGAGAUGCUGAUGCAUAUGUUGCUCACACAUCUUUCCACCUACCUGAAAUGGAAAUAAAUCAGGUUUAUCAUGAAAGUGUCUUUGUACUUGUGCAGUGAUUAUAUUUAACUCUGAAAUGGAAAACAAAAUAAAGUGAAA